UACGUAGGGGGCAAGCGUUGUCCGGAUUUAUUGGGCGUAAAGAGCGUGUAGGCGGUUCGGUAGGUCCGUUGUGAAAACUCGAGGCUCAACCUCGAGACGCCGAUGGAAACCCCCGAACUAGAGUCCGGAAGAGGAGAGUGGAAUUCCUGGUGUAGCGGUGAAAUGCGCAGAUAUCAGGAAGAACACCCGUGGCUAAGGCGGCUCUCUGGGACGGUACUGACGCUGAGACGCGAAAGCGUGGGGAGCGAACAGG
Molecule: ribosomal RNA, 253 nt
Filed under: uncultured bacterium
Lineage: Bacteria
Description: partial 16S ribosomal RNA
Rfam family: Bacterial small subunit ribosomal RNA
Source: RNAcentral